Molecule: ribosomal RNA, 495 nt
Filed under: uncultured bacterium
Lineage: Bacteria
Description: partial 16S ribosomal RNA
Rfam family: Bacterial small subunit ribosomal RNA
Source: RNAcentral
GAUGAACGCUGGCGGCGUGCCUAAUACAUGCAAGUAGAACGCUGAAGGAGGAGCUUGCUCUUCUGGAUGAGUUGCGAACGGGUGAGUAACGCGUAGGUAACCUGCCUGGUAGCGGGGGAUAACUAUUGGAAACGAUAGCUAAUACCGCAUGACAACAGUUAUUGCAUGAUAACUGUUUAAAAGGGGCAACUGCUCCACUACCAGAUGGACCUGCGUUAUAUUAGCUAGUUGGUGAGGUAACGGCUCACCAAGGCGACGAUACAUAGCCGACCUGAGAGGGUGAUCGGCCACACUGGGACUGAGACACGGCCCAGACUCCUACGGGAGGCAGCAGUAGGGAAUCUUCGGCAAUGGACGGAAGUCUGACCGAGCAACGCCGCGUGAGUGAAGAAGGUUUUCGGAUCGUAAAGCUCUGUUGUAAGAGAAGAACGAGUGUGAGAGUGGAAAGUUCACACUGUGACGGUAUCUUACCAGAAAGGGACGGCUAACUACGUG